This 468-nucleotide ribosomal RNA is filed under the name uncultured bacterium. RNAcentral's name for it is "partial 16S ribosomal RNA". It matches the Rfam family "Bacterial small subunit ribosomal RNA", at positions 28 to 507 of the family's 1533-position model. The record is from RNAcentral.
GACGAACGCUGGCGGCGUGCUUAACACAUGCAAGUCGAACGGAAAGGCCCUGCUUUUGUGGGGUGCUCGAGUGGCGAACGGGUGAGUAACACGUGAGUAACCUGCCCUUGACUUUGGGAUAACUUCAGGAAACUGGGUCUAAUACCGGAUAGGAGCUCCUGCUGCAUGGUGGGGGUUGGAAAGUUUCGGCGGUUGGGGAUGGACUCGCGGCUUAUCAGCUUGUUGGUGGGGUAGUGGCUUACCAAGGCUUUGACGGGUAGCCGGCCUGAGAGGGUGACCGGCCACAUUGGGACUGAGAUACGGCGCAGACGCCUACGGGGGACAGCGGUGGGGAAUAUGGCACAGUGGUCGGAAGCGUGAGGCGGCAACGCCGCGUGCGGGAUGACGGCCUUCGGGUUGUAAACCGCUUUCGCCUGUGACGAAGCGUGAGUGACGGUAAUGGGUAAAGAAGCACCGGCUAACUACGUG